GCCUGAACAACAUGCAUUUUAUUCCCACGACUUUUGGCCCACGACCUUCUAGAAUUUCCCCUUGGGCCUUCCUGGGGUGCGUUCCCAGAUGACGUCCGAUUGUUUGCCUUCGUGCGCUUCACCACCGGGGAUGCCAUGAGCAAGAGGUCCAAGUUUGCCCUCAUCACCUGGAUUGGCGAGAACGUCAGCGGGCUGCAGCGCGCCAAGACGGGCACCGACAAGACCCUGGUGAAGGAAGUGGUGCAGAAUUUCGCCAAAGAGUUUGUGAUCAGUGAUCGGAAGGAGCUGGAGGAAGAUUUUAUCAAGAGCGAGCUCAAGAAGGCCGGGGGUGCCAAUUAUGACGCCCAGACGGAGUAACCCCCGCACCCCGCGCCUUGCCAAAGUCAUCUGCCUGCUCCCCGGGGGAGGGGACCGCGGCCUCAGCUACCAGCCCAUCAGCCCACCAGGGAGAGGAGACGCGAUGAGAGGCAACGCCCGCCACCCCGUCCGCAACCCAGCUCCCCUCCCCGCUUCCCCUUGUGCACCUGCUGUGUCCCGUCCCAUGAAGCUCAUGGAACAUCUUUCUUUGCUUUUUUUUCUUUUCUCCCCCUGACCCCUUUCUUGUUCUAAACAAAAAUCAUUUGGAUGCCAAGGUCACGCACAUCACCAGAUCGGAGGUGCCUCCUGCGGUGACCCUCUCCUGGCAUUUCUUAACGCACAGGCAGCCUGCCCGGCCUGACCCAUCAACCUCGCGUCGCUUCUGGCGCCUGGGCCAGUGUCGCUCUCUUGUUUUCUUUUUUUUUGGCGCCCGCCUGCUUCCCACGGAGGAGGCAGCCACGUGGGGAGCCCGUCCUCAUCGUGCCCUUGUCGAGCCCCGCUGGCCAGGCUCACACCUCCAGGAGUCCCUCCGGAGGCCCCCCCACCCCCCACCUCCAUUCCAAGUUGCCUAAGCUCCAUGUCCAUCAGAGACGGUGCUCGGUGGAGAGAUGGGCAGCCCUGACUCAGACCGAAGGAGGAGAGAGGAAAAUCUGCCACCCGUCAGAAGCGGCCCGUUCCCCAGCCUUGGGAUGGCGCUCUCGGGAUGGCGGGGGGUGGGGGCAGAGGUCUGAGUCCAGAUUCGACGGGAGGUGCUCAGGGCUCACAUCCUCGGGCUCCCCAAGUGACGAGGACAUUAGGGGUGCAGAAUGGGCAUUUAGGUCAAAGCGGUCCUCUGCACGACAGCACAGACAGCAGGGGACAGAGGCUCCCUGCUCCGUCACGGUCACCACAGCUGUGUGUGCAGCGCCCCCCCCCACUGGGGGGGGGAACCAGAAAGUCUAUGGUUUUAAUCCUCGGUGGCACCUCACACAAAAAGGAUUUUUUUUUUUUUCAAAGAAAGAUGAGGUUGGCUUGGUUCUUCAUGCCCAUGUUAGGUAGGGCUCUUUUUCUCUUUUCCUUGCUCGUUUCGUCGGGGGACGUCUGUGCUGUGCUGGGGUGGUGAAGGCAUCUGCACUCAAAACGGUUUACAGAAAUAAAUUUUUGUUUUGUUUUGUUUUUCAAAAAA
This 1522-nucleotide long non-coding RNA is filed under the name Sus scrofa (pig). Its description in RNAcentral is "lncRNA (ENSSSCG00060035440.1)". Lineage: Eukaryota; Metazoa; Chordata; Mammalia; Artiodactyla; Suidae. The record is from RNAcentral.